UCCCUCAUAGCUAGGUUGGUAAAGAAUCUGCCUGCAGUGCAGGAGACCCAGGUUCAAUUUCUGGGUUGGGAA
RNAcentral lists this transfer RNA (72 nucleotides) under Ovis aries (sheep). It matches the Rfam family "tRNA". From Rfam's summary of the family: Transfer RNA (tRNA) molecules are approximately 80 nucleotides in length. Their secondary structure includes four short double-helical elements and three loops (D, anti-codon, and T loops). Further hydrogen bonds mediate the characteristic L-shaped molecular structure. tRNAs have two regions of fundamental functional importance: the anti-codon, which is responsible for specific mRNA codon recognition, and the 3' end, to which the tRNAs corresponding amino acid is attached (by aminoacyl-tRNA synthetases). tRNAs cope with the degeneracy of the genetic code in two manners: having more than one tRNA (with a specific anti-codon) for a particular amino acid; and 'wobble' base-pairing, i.e. permitting non-standard base-pairing at the 3rd anti-codon position. Lineage: Eukaryota; Metazoa; Chordata; Mammalia; Artiodactyla; Bovidae. The record is from Rfam by way of RNAcentral.